This 941-nucleotide long non-coding RNA is filed under the name Marmota monax (woodchuck). Lineage: Eukaryota; Metazoa; Chordata; Mammalia; Rodentia; Sciuridae. The record is from RNAcentral.
GAAAUGAUGCUAUAUGUUCUAAGUCUUGCACAUUCUGAAAAAUCACCAACAAAAAAGAGAAGAGGAGGAAAAAAAAAUUACAUGAUACUGAGAGCCAUCUCAUAUUAUGAAUAAUCUACCAAGAAACAUUCAAAAAAGUAACUCUUUGCUUCUACAAAUGAAUAAUUCUUGUGUUGAUUGUACUCCAUUGAAGACAUUUCACUAACAAGAAGCUUCAUUUUAGCAAUCCCAUGUGCAAAUUUUAAUAAAAUAUAUUAAAAAUUCAAUUCAUAUCUUGCCCUCACUGUCCAGCAAGCAUGACAACAUUUUUGAGAAAUCUUUUGCUACAGCAGGGGUUAAGCCAUAGUUUUGCCUGAAACUCCCAUCUCUGCAGUCUGUUUGGAUAUAACAUCCACCAGAAGCUGAAAUCUAUGAAAAUCCUAUUUGAGGUCUGGUGGAGUGAGAGAGGAGUGUUGAAAAGACCACUCCUGAGUAUUUAUUUGUACUCAAUCCAGAUUUAUAUGUGUCCUCUGGGUAUAAGAGAGAGAUGCUGUAAAGUUGCUGGCUGCCAUUUGCUGUAUAUCUGUGAUUUGUCCCACAUCAACCAAUGGCAGAAAGAGAAAAGCACAUCUUUCAAAGCAGUUAGAGUAGCAUGGCAGACCACUGAUGGACAAGCCAAAAUUGAUCCAGGGAUAAUGGCUUUGGAGACAGUGGCCUCCCCAGGGUUAGGUUUGGUCUAGUUGUACAGGAAUAAAAUAGGCUCUUCUCUAGAGCUGGCAUGAUGUUUUCAAUGCCCAUUGCAGCCUAGAAAUACCGAAGUGCCACAAGAAAUCAAACACGUUUGAAAGUGGGUAGGCAAGGCACACUUUUACUUCUUCCAGAACAUCUCCCUACCUACUGGAACCUGACUAGCAAGUGCUCCUGGGCGGGCAGUCCACCUCUCUAUAUACCUAGUGCAGUGC